RNAcentral lists this ribosomal RNA (1241 nucleotides) under metagenome. Its description in RNAcentral is "bacterial LSU rRNA". It matches the Rfam family "Bacterial large subunit ribosomal RNA", at positions 1564 to 2815 of the family's 2925-position model. The record is from RNAcentral.
UGAAUACGAGAUGCUAAGGCGUCGAAGUAGUGUAUGUCAUACUUCCAAGAAAAGCUUGCACUGUCAUAGAUAAAAAAUGCCUGUACCAUAACCGACACAGGUGGGUAAGUAGAGUAUACUAAGGGGCGCGAGAUAACUCUCUCUAAGGAACUCGGCAAAAUAACUCCGUAACUUCGGGAGAAGGAGUGCCUUAUUCUUAAGGUUGCAAUAACAAGAUCCAAGCAACUGUUUAUCAAAAACACAGGUCUCCGCUAAGUCGUAAGACGAUGUAUGGGGGCUGACGCCUGCCCAGUGCCAGAAGGUUAAAGAAGUUGGUUAGCAAUUGCGAAGCUGGUAACUGAAGCCCUGGUGAACGGCGGCCGUAACGAUAACGGUCCUAAGGUAGCGAAAUCCCUUGUCGGGUAAGUUCCGACCCGCACGAAAGGCGUAAUGAUUUGGAUGCUGUCUCGGAGAGGGGCUCGGUGAAAUAGACUUGUCUGUGAAGAUGCGGACUACCUGCACCAGGACAGAAAGACCCUAUGAAGCUUUACUGUAACUUGAAAUUGAAAUUGGACUUUAUUUGCGCAGUAUAGGUGGGAGGCGUUGAUUAUAAUCUUGCGGGAUUAUUGGAGCCAUCAGUGAGAUACCACUCUUGUAAUGUUAGAUUUCUAACUUUGAGUCAUUAUCUGGUCAAAGGACAAUUUCAGGCGGGCAGUUUGACUGGGGCGGUCGCCUCCUAAAUGGUAACGGAGGCGUACAAAGGUUUCCUCUGAACGGUUAGAAAUCGUAUCUAGAGUGUAAAGGCAUAAGGAAGCUUGACUGUGAGACCUACAAGUCGAGCAGGGACGAAAGUCGGUCUUAGUGAUCUGACGGUACUGAGUGGAAAGGCCGUCACUCAACGGAUAAAAGUUACUCUAGGAUAACAGGCUGAUCUCCCCCAAGAGUUCACAUCGACGGGGAGGUUUGGCACCUCGAUGUCGGCUCAUCGCAUCCUGGGGCGGUAGUACGUCCCAAGGGUUGGGCUGUUCGCCCAUGAAAGCGGUACGCGAGCUGGGUUCAGAACGUCGUGAGACAGUUCGGUCCAUAUCCGGUGUAGGCGUUAGAAUAUUGAGAGGAGCCUUCUUUAGUACGAGAGGACCGAGAAGGACAUACCUCUGGUGUACCAGUUAUCGUGCCAACGGUAAACGCUGGGUAGCUAUGUAUGGAGUGGAUAACCGCUGAAAGCAUCUAAGUGGGAAGCCCACCUCAAGAUAAGUAUUCCC